UAACACGGAGGGGGCAAGCGUUAUUCGGAAUUAUUGGGCGUAAAGGGCAGGUAGGCGGCUCGGUAUGUCUCUUGUGAAAGCCCUCGGCUCAACCGAGGAAUUGCAGGGGAAACUGCUGGGCUUGAGUCCGGGAGAGGAGAGUGGAAUUCCCAGUGUAGCGGUGAAAUGCGUAGAUAUUGGGAGGAACACCAGUGGCGAAGGCGGCUCUCUGGACCGGUACUGACGCUGAGCUGCGAAAGCUAGGGGAGCGAACGGGAUUAGAUACCCCGGUAGUCCUAGCUGUAAACGAUGAGCACUUGGUGUGGCGGGUAUCGACCCCUGCCGUGCCGGCGCUAACGCAUUAAGUGCUCCGCCUGGGGAGUACGGUCGCAAGGCUG
This 377-nucleotide ribosomal RNA is filed under the name uncultured Anaerolineae bacterium. Its description in RNAcentral is "bacterial SSU rRNA". It matches the Rfam family "Bacterial small subunit ribosomal RNA", at positions 521 to 896 of the family's 1533-position model. The record is from RNAcentral. Lineage: Bacteria; Bacillati; Chloroflexota; Anaerolineae.